CAGUCGCCACGGUAAUACAGAGGGUGCGAGCGUUAAUCGGAUUUACUGGGCGUAAAGCGUGCGUAGGCGGCUUCUUAAGUCGGAUGUGAAAUCCCUGAGCUUAACUUAGGAAUUGCAUUCGAUACUGGGAAGCUAGAGUAUGGGAGAGGUUGGUAGAAUUCCAGGUGUAGCGGUGAAAUGCGUAGAGAUCUGGAGGAAUACCGAUGGCGAAGGCAGCCAUCUGGCCUAAUACUGACGCUGAGGUACGAAAGCAUGGGGAGCAAACAGGAUUAGAUACCCCAGUAGUCCCUGUCUUAUACAC
Molecule: ribosomal RNA, 301 nt
Filed under: uncultured bacterium
Lineage: Bacteria
Description: partial 16S ribosomal RNA
Rfam family: Bacterial small subunit ribosomal RNA
Source: RNAcentral